CCUACGGGUGGCAGCAGUGAGGAAUAUUGGUCAAUGGACGGAAGUCUGAACCAGCCAUGCCGCGUGCAGGAAGACGGCUCUAUGAGUUGUAAACUGCUUUUGUACAAGGGUAAACCUGAAUACGUGUAUUCAGCUGAAAGUACUGUACGAAUAAGGAUAGGCUAACUCCGUGCCAGCAGCCGCGGUAAUACGGAGGAUCCAAGCGUUAUCCGGAUUUAUUGGGUUUAAAGGGUGCGUAGGCGGAUUGAUAAGUUAGAGGUGAAAUGUCCGAGCUUAACUCGGGAACUGCCUCUAAUACUGUUGAUCUAGAGAGUAGAUGCGGUAGGCGGAAUGUAUGGUGUAGCUGUGAAAUGCUUAGAGAUCAUACAGAACACCGAUUGCGAAGGCAGCUUACCAAUCUAUAUCUGACGUUGAGGCACGAAAGCGUGGUGAGCAAACAGGAUUAGAUACCCGAGUAGUC
This 460-nucleotide ribosomal RNA is filed under the name uncultured bacterium. Its description in RNAcentral is "partial 16S ribosomal RNA". It matches the Rfam family "Bacterial small subunit ribosomal RNA", at positions 338 to 795 of the family's 1533-position model. The record is from RNAcentral.